GUGGUUUUAAACAUUGUGACAAUAUCAGAGCAAUUGAAAUACUUAUACACAAGUUAUUAUCCUUAAACUAUAAAAUGCUUGUUUUGGGCCCCUUUUGGGCCCUUAAUUCCUAAACGGUUGGGACCAUCAUCCCCAAAAUCGAUCCAAACCUUCCUUUUGUGGUAUUGAACCUUCUGAAAAAAAAAUCAUAAAGAUCUAUACACUUAAACUAAAGUUAUUGUCCGGAAUAUAAGUCUACUUUGAUCAGUUUUAGUUAAAAUAUUAAGGGGCAAAAACUAUUACAAUUAGUGCAUUUUAUAGAUAUUUGGGAGCAUUUUUUUACCAAUUUCCCAUUAUUUGCCAGGCUAAAUUUUUUUACUUGUCUUAGAACUGAUAUGCACCUUUAAAAAAAUCCUAAAAGUUGAAAAAAAUAAAUAUGAUCUUGAGAGAAAACACCUACUGAGUACAUGUACUACAUGCAAGUUAUCUAAUACAUCUGUUGCACGAACCUCUCUGGCAACCUGCCAAAAGGUAAAAAAAAUGUCAAAAUGCAUUUUUUUCUUUUUUUUUAUAAUGUUCUUUGCAAAAUAUAACAAGAUAAUGCUAUAUUUAAGAGAUAUAUCAAUUAUCCAGACCUUUAAAAAGUACCUAAAUAUGGUGAUUUUUUUUGCAUUUUUUUUUUUAAUAAUUCACAAAUAUGCA
Molecule: long non-coding RNA, 681 nt
Filed under: Mytilus galloprovincialis (Mediterranean mussel)
Lineage: Eukaryota; Metazoa; Mollusca; Bivalvia; Mytilida; Mytilidae
Source: RNAcentral